UACGGGGGGGGUAAGCGUUGUUCGGAAUUACUGGGCGUAAAGGGCUCGUAGGCGGUUUGUCGCGUCGGCCGUGAAAACUUGGGGCUUAACCCCAAGCUUGCGGUCGAUACGGGCAGACUUGAGUUCGGCAGGGGAGACUGGAAUUCCUGGUGUAGCGGUGAAAUGCGCAGAUAUCAGGAGGAACACCCGUGGCGAAAGCGGCUCUCUGGAACGGUACUGACGCUGAGACGCGAAAGCGUGGGGAGCGAACAGG
This 253-nucleotide ribosomal RNA is filed under the name uncultured bacterium. Its description in RNAcentral is "partial 16S ribosomal RNA". It matches the Rfam family "Bacterial small subunit ribosomal RNA", at positions 524 to 776 of the family's 1533-position model. The record is from RNAcentral.